AUUGAACGCUGGCGGCAUGCUUUACACAUGCAAGUCGAACGGUAACAGGCCGCAAGGUGCUGACGAGUGGCGAACGGGUGAGUAAUGCAUCGGAACGUGCCCAGUCGUGGGGGAUAACUACUCGAAAGAGUAGCUAAUACCGCAUACGAUCUAUGGAUGAAAGCGGGGGACCGUAAGGCCUCGCGCGAUUGGAGCGGCCGAUGUCAGAUUAGGUAGUUGGUGGGGUAAAGGCUCACCAAGCCAACGAUCUGUAGCUGGUCUGAGAGGACGACCAGCCACACUGGGACUGAGACACGGCCCAGACUCCUACGGGAGGCAGCAGUGGGGAAUUUUGGACAAUGGGCGCAAGCCUGAUCCAGCAGUGCCGCGUGCAGGAAGAAGGCCUUCGGGUUGUAAACUGCUUUUGUACGGAACGAAACGGCUCUGGUUAAUACCCGGGGCUAAUGAUGGUACCGUAAGAAUAAGCACCGGCUAACUACGUG
This 482-nucleotide ribosomal RNA is filed under the name uncultured bacterium. Its description in RNAcentral is "partial 16S ribosomal RNA". It matches the Rfam family "Bacterial small subunit ribosomal RNA", at positions 30 to 507 of the family's 1533-position model. The record is from RNAcentral.